RNAcentral lists this ribosomal RNA (254 nucleotides) under uncultured bacterium. RNAcentral's name for it is "partial 16S ribosomal RNA". It matches the Rfam family "Bacterial small subunit ribosomal RNA", at positions 524 to 776 of the family's 1533-position model. The record is from RNAcentral.
UACGAAGGGGGCUAGCGUUGUUCGGAGUUACUGGGCGUAAAGGGCGCGUAGGCGGCGCACCAAGUCAGGCGUGAAAGCCCUGGGCUCAACCCGGGAAUUGCGCUUGAGACUGGUGUGCUUGAGUACGGGAGAGGAUAGUGGAAUUCCCAGUGUAGAGGUGAAAUUCGUAGAUAUUGGGAAGAACACCGGUGGCGAAGGCGGCUAUCUGGACCGUAACUGACGCUGAGGCGCGAAAGCGUGGGGGAGCAAACAGG